Molecule: ribosomal RNA, 524 nt
Filed under: uncultured bacterium
Lineage: Bacteria
Description: partial 16S ribosomal RNA
Rfam family: Bacterial small subunit ribosomal RNA
Source: RNAcentral
GACGAACGCUGGCGGCGUGCCUAAUACAUGCAAGUCGAGCGCAGGAAACUGACGGAACUCUUCGGAGGGAAGGCAGCGGAAUGAGCGGCGGACGGGUGAGUAACACGUAAGGAACCUGCCUCAAGGAUUGGGAUAACUCCGAGAAAUCGGAGCUAAUACCGGAUAGUUCAACGGACCGCAUGGUCCGCUGAUGAAAGGCCCUCCGGCGUCACCUUGAGAUGGCCUUGCGGUGCAUUAGCUAGUUGGUGGGGUAACGGCUCACCAAGGCGACGAUGCAUAGCCGACCUGAGAGGGUGAUCGGCCACACUGGGACUGAGACACGGCCCAGACUCCUACGGGAGGCAGCAGUAGGGAAUCUUCCACAAUGGACGAAAGUCUGAUGGAGCAACGCCGCGUGAGUGAUGAAGGUUUUCGGAUCGUAAAACUCUGUUGUAAGGGAAGAACACGUACGAGAGGGAAUGCUCGUACCUUGACGGUACCUUACGAGAAAGCCACGGCUAACUACGUGCCAGCAGCCGCGGUAA